Molecule: ribosomal RNA, 119 nt
Organism: Labrus bergylta (ballan wrasse)
Lineage: Eukaryota; Metazoa; Chordata; Actinopteri; Labriformes; Labridae
Source: Ensembl
GCUUACGGCCAUACCACCCUGAACACGCCCGAUCUCGUCAGAUCUCGGAAGCUAAGCAGGGUCGGGCCUGGUUAGUACUUGGAUGGGAGACCGCCUGGGAAUACCAGGUGCUGUAAGCU